AUCGGGUGGGUGGAGCAGCAGGUAGCUCGCAGGGCUCAUAACCCUGAGGUCGCACGUUCGGGAGUCGUGUCCCCGCUA
This 78-nucleotide transfer RNA is filed under the name Riemerella anatipestifer. Its description in RNAcentral is "tRNA-Met". It matches the Rfam family "tRNA". Rfam says of the family: Transfer RNA (tRNA) molecules are approximately 80 nucleotides in length. Their secondary structure includes four short double-helical elements and three loops (D, anti-codon, and T loops). Lineage: Bacteria; Pseudomonadati; Bacteroidota; Flavobacteriia; Flavobacteriales; Weeksellaceae. The record is from RNAcentral.